AUUGCGCGCGACCCGGCGGCGGGACAGGCUUGCUGCUUCCUCCUCCUCGGCCUCACCGUUUUUGCCAAUCCAGAAGACUGUGUAGCAUUUGGCAAAGGAGAAAAUGCCAAGAAGUAUCUUCGAACAGAUGACAGAGUAGAACGUGUACGCAGGGCACAGGAGAUCUUAGGCCCAGAAAGGCAGAUUCAGAAGAACCUACAUGUAAAUGAGACUGGAGUGGAAAUGAGAAUGGCAGGAAAUGCAUGGAAACAGACUUGUAACUGUCUCAUGGCCUGGUCGUCCGAAUCCCAGAGUAGGUUAGCCUGACUGUGCUAUCACAGCAUAGGAGCAAGACAGGAAAUGGAACUGUAUAAAUCUCCUUUCAAGAGUCUGCAGUCAUUACAUCCACCAACAUGCCCUUGGCCAGAGAAAGUCACAGGGCUGGCCUCAGAAUUAAAGUGCUGGGAAAUGGACUCAACUCCCUCAGGGAGAUGAACUGCAAAGUCACAUGGCACAGGGGCACGGAUGCACAGAGGGAUGAAAAUUUAGGCCACUUAUACAGUCAAUCUAUUGCACUUGUCCGCUUUGUUAUGCUAGUAUGAGUUUCAAUUCAGACACAUGUAAAAGCAUUUUAUAAACUUUAUGACAUUAUGCAAUUAAAACAGCAUUUAUUCUAAUGUGUCAUAAUUUUAUCAGAUUAGUGGUAAUCUGUGAUAUGCUCAGUAUGAGAGCAAUAGUUACAAACUAAGUAAAAAACACAAUACAGGGUUUGUGAACUUGGCCUUCUCCCUCUCAUUUGCAAUGUGCUGCCUUAGGAAGACAGAUGGGACAAGGAACAAAUAUUUGGACAGCCUUAUCGCCUCUAUAACCAAGUUGGUUCCCAAACUGUGCCCAGUCUGUUCUCUUGAAAUUAUAAUAUGCACCCUGCUCCCAACCAAGUGUUUCAUCAAAUUU
Molecule: small RNA, 933 nt
Filed under: Pan troglodytes (chimpanzee)
Lineage: Eukaryota; Metazoa; Chordata; Mammalia; Primates; Hominidae
Description: processed transcript
Source: RNAcentral